GACUGAACGCCUCUAAGUCA
This 20-nucleotide small nuclear RNA is filed under the name Arabidopsis thaliana (thale cress). Its description in RNAcentral is "snRNA_12167". The record is from RNAcentral. Lineage: Eukaryota; Viridiplantae; Streptophyta; Magnoliopsida; Brassicales; Brassicaceae.